UCUUGCUCUGCGAGUCUCUCUCUCACAAGUCACAACCAUCCUAUAUAGACAAAUAGGCAUCCACCCAAAACAUGUGUAGCAAGCAGAGGACACACACUCUCUUGCUUUCUUCUCUCUCUACACAGUCCCUCUUUUUCUGAGACAAUGGAGACCCAACAACAGCAGCAGCCUCAGCCUAAAACCACUGAUGAGAAGCUUUCCUUGGACAUUGAACACUUCGAACCCAAGACCCUCACAAGGGAGCAAAUCAAAAGUGCAAGGGUAUGAUAAUCCCAUUUCUUCCCUUUCUUUUCUCUUUAAUAUUAUCUUCACAUAUCUAUGCGUGUCCAGGCCGCAGCUGCCCUGCAAUUAGCGGCAUUAAGAGAAGAAAGGAAAGCUCAGAUCAAGAUGGCUGUAAGUUUUUUUUGGGUGUUUGUUUAUAACAUAUAGCAGCAAGAAGAGGCUUUUCUUUCCCAUUCUUUAAAAAUUUUAGCUUCAACCAUUUCCCUCUCACUUCAAAUUUGUCUUACCAAUAUAUAUAUAUAUAUAGCUAUUAGGAGAUUUGAUUUGGUGAGAAAAUACAGGAAUAUUCAAGCUCAAGAAGAGGUGAAGGUGGAUGUGAUGUGUAGCCCUCCUCUUAGAAUCUAGAGGGCUAGGUGUCUUGCAGUCCUCUCGAUCCAAUGGUUAUCAUAUAUGCAUGUCGUUUUCUGGCAUUUGAAAUAAAAGACAGAACUAAAUAAUGGCUAUCUUUGUUUCAAGACUCCAUUAGUGGGUAUGUGUUCUUUCUCUGUCUCUCUUUUUCUAUGUGUGUGUCUGAACUCCAUGGUUGAAGAUUCAUCUCGAUUAGGCUCCAGAUGCACUUACAUUUCCAUCUGUAAAAUGGUUUUGCAUGGUUAAUUUCUACUAAUCUGGCAUAUUAAAGUAUCAGCCUUGGCAGUUUUGGUCGGAAACCCAUACUUGAUAAUAUUGGAGAAAUUAAUUUUUACAUCCAAAAAUUAAACUAGAAACUAUCCAGAUUAUCCGAACUCUCGUUAAAACUAACCUAAUCCUUCCUUAACCCAAUUAUUG
This 1047-nucleotide long non-coding RNA is filed under the name Manihot esculenta (cassava). Its description in RNAcentral is "long non-coding RNA (MESC_LNC010663)". Lineage: Eukaryota; Viridiplantae; Streptophyta; Magnoliopsida; Malpighiales; Euphorbiaceae. The record is from RNAcentral.